This 279-nucleotide ribosomal RNA is filed under the name uncultured bacterium. RNAcentral's name for it is "partial 16S ribosomal RNA". It matches the Rfam family "Bacterial small subunit ribosomal RNA", at positions 506 to 784 of the family's 1533-position model. The record is from RNAcentral.
UGCCAGCAGCCGCGGUAAUACGGAGGGGGUUAGCGUUGUUCGGAAUUACUGGGCGUAAAGCGCACGUAGGCGGAUUAGAAAGUUGGGGGUGAAAUCCCAGGGCUCAACCCUGGAACUGCCUCCAAAACUACUAGUCUUGAGUUCGAGAGAGGUGAGUGGAAUUCCGAGUGUAGAGGUGAAAUUCGUAGAUAUCCGGAGGAACACCAGAGGCGAAGGUGGUCUCUUGGUCCGAAACUGACGCUGAGGCGCGAAAGCGUGGGGAGCAAACAGGAUUAGAUA